CAUGGUGUUCAUGGCUCAAAAGAGCUUCUUAAACCUCUAAAGAGCACAAAGCUCCAAAUCUCUUAACCAAAAUCCAAACCCUAGAGGAAAACCUUACAAAACUUACCUCUAGUCCAAGCUCCACCAAGAUUCUUCUUGUCGGAGAGCUCCUAGAACCUCCAAAGCCUCCAAAUCCACCUUCUUCUCCAAGCUCUUCUUCUUCUUCUCCAAGCUCUUCUUCUUCUCCAAGUUCUAGAGGAGUUUUAGAGAGAGAAAGAGAGAAAAUGAGAGAGGAGGAGAGAAAUGGCUGUGGGAGAGAGGGGGUGGGCCAUAUAUAGUGUUGUAAUAAUUG
This 331-nucleotide long non-coding RNA is filed under the name Ananas comosus (pineapple). RNAcentral describes it as "long non-coding RNA (ACOM_LNC038580)". The record is from RNAcentral. Lineage: Eukaryota; Viridiplantae; Streptophyta; Magnoliopsida; Poales; Bromeliaceae.